GGAAAUAGCUCAGUGGUGGAGCACACGCUUAGCAUGCCUAAGGUCCUGGAUUCAAUCCCCAGUAUUUCCA
Molecule: transfer RNA, 70 nt
Filed under: Camelus bactrianus (Bactrian camel)
Lineage: Eukaryota; Metazoa; Chordata; Mammalia; Artiodactyla; Camelidae
Also listed under: 1 other name
Rfam family: tRNA
About the family: Transfer RNA (tRNA) molecules are approximately 80 nucleotides in length. Their secondary structure includes four short double-helical elements and three loops (D, anti-codon, and T loops).
Source: Rfam by way of RNAcentral